Molecule: unclassified non-coding RNA, 279 nt
Filed under: plant metagenome
Description: partial contains small subunit ribosomal RNA, internal transcribed spacer 1, and 5.8S ribosomal RNA
Source: RNAcentral
UUUCCGUAGGUGAACCUGCGGAAGGAUCAUUACCGAGUGAGGAUCUCUCAGGCCCCACCUCCCACCCUGUGUUUUUGUGACCUUGUUGCUUUGGCGGGCCCGCCUCGACGAGCGGCCGCCGGAAGCUCACCGCCUUCGGCCCGUUCCCGUCAAUAACCCCCUUAAAUUCUUAGUAGACCUUUAGUCUGAGUUAAUUGAUAUAAUGAAAAAAAACUUUUAACAACUGAACUCAUUGUUCUGGCAUCGGUGAAGAACGCCGCAGAACGGACAAUCACACGU